RNAcentral lists this small RNA (3209 nucleotides) under Rattus norvegicus (Norway rat). RNAcentral describes it as "uncharacterized LOC102546835". Lineage: Eukaryota; Metazoa; Chordata; Mammalia; Rodentia; Muridae. The record is from RNAcentral.
UGCAGGCAAGAAGAUGGAACUGGAAAAUAUCAUCUGAAUGAGGACUGAAGUCAAGGACUGCUGUGGUUGAAUUAAGGAAAGGCUGGAAGAAGCUGAAGAGGUUGGCGACCCCAAAAGAAGACCAGAAGUCUCAACUCUCCCAGACUCCUGAGAUCUCUCAGACAUUGAGUCCCCAACCAGCAGCAUACAAGAACUGGUGGGAGGACCCUGACGCAUAUACAGCAGAGGACUGCCUGGUCUGGCCUCAGUGAGAGAAUCCUUGCCUAACCCUUUAGAGACUUGAGGACCCAGGAAGUGGGGAGACCUGGUCAGUGUCUUCGAGUAACUGUUGGUUGCCUUUGGUGGCCAGAUGAUGGUGUGAGAUCCCCUAAACUGGAUUUACUGACAUUUGUGAGUUGCCAUGUGGGUUCAGGAGAGUCAACCUGGUUUCUCUGGAAGAGGAGAUAGUCCUUUUUAUUACUGAGCCAUACCUCCGUUCCCUCUUUCAAAUUCUGUUUUUAAUUCUUCUCUCAUGUAUUACAGCCCAAAAAAGAGAUUUUUAUCUCUCCUCUCCUCAGGGUCAGUCUUCCCUACCUGUCUACUCCCCCCAAGACCUUUCCUGUAUUAUUGUCAUGUUUGUCUCUAAUGUAGUAUCUUGUUUGUUGAGUUUUGUUAUUUGGUUACACAGUCAUUGCUAAAAGAUUUGUCGUAAGAUUUAAAUUUGUGUUUUGUUUUUCAAACGAUUGUAAAGGAAAUUUAUUGUGUUUCCAAAAUAUUGUCAAUAUUAAAAUAUGAAAACUCUCUAUGUUUAUUUAGUGGUUCAGUGGUAGCUAUCAACACAGCAGAAUCCAAAAUCAGCUUGGAGGCAAGUCCUUCGGACAUCUCUGAGGGGUCAUCUUGUUGUUUGAAGAACCAUCUUAAUUGUAACUAAGAACAUCCCCUGGGUGGAAAAUCCUGUAUUGCAUAAAAUGAUGAAGGCAGGAGAAAUGACUUCAAUUCAACAUGAAAUUAAUCCCCCAGACCAUCAUUAGAGUGCAAAGGUGACCUGAGCAUCUGAGCCUUCAGGAAGACAUGCUUCAUGGAUCUCAAUUUGGAUUUCUGAACAGAGAAACAGGUAUCAUCAAUUACUGGUACUUGUAAUGCACAACAUUGCCAUGAAGAAAACGGAAUUAGCACAGAGCAUGCAGAGUACCUUCCAACUCCAUGAACAUUACAUGUGAAGCUUCAAGUUUGGUAUCUGCACAAUUUCUCAAUGGUUGAUGACAGAACAUCCUGAGAAGAUCACACUGGAGACCACUACUCUGAUCUAAGAUAUAAACUGCAAGUACUUUCCUGAUGAGGAGUAGGACUCUGUGUUUAUACCCUUAACCAAUGCUGUAACUGUGAUCUAUGGCAAGGGAAGAACAAGAUCUCAGGACUGCUUCAUCACCUUACGAAGAUAUUCAAAAAUACAUAAUACUAGAAGAAAUUUUUUUCUUUCAAUCUUAGAAUGUGGAGGGAAUCUUUCUUAAUUAGUGUACAGUUGACAGAGGAUACCUAGGGAGUUUAUUCCCAUGCUGAGAUACCAAUUCCUUACUACUGUCCACAGCAUUCUUAGAUACUUCCUUUUCAAAGUGAUUCUAGCAGAGGCAAAAAGUUCGUAGGUGUUCAUACUGUAAUUAAGAAUUAUUAUGGAAAAAGAAUUUUAUUAUGCAAAAAGUGUUUAUGCAUAGACAGUGGAUAGAAAGGCUCAAUUCUGCAACUCAUGUGUUAUCUUUGACUUUUUAAAAGGAGCUGUUCACUAGAGAGUAGCUGCAAGGAAUGGAAAAUUUGAUGAGCCAAACUGAGGAAGAUUGAUGAAGCAGAGAGCUGACAUCAAUUCACAUUGUGGUGUAAUCAUUUUUCUAUAAACGGUAUUUCUGAUACGGAGUCUCAGUGUACUUUGUAGUGAGGUUGCAAAUUCAAGCACUAAUGCAAUGCUUCCUGUCAGCAUCCUGAGAAGAUCACUCUGGAGACCACUACUCUGAUCUAUGAUAUAAACUGCAAGUACUUUCCUGAUGAAGAGUAGGACUCUGUGUUUAUACCCUUAACCAAUGCUGUAACUAAUAAUGUAAGAAUGGAGAUUUCCUUCAUUUUAAUAUCUACAUGGAUGAGAUUGGUGGCAUUAAGAAAGACAUUGAUGUGGAAACGUAAAGGAUAUUUGUGAUGGAUAUAUGACUAGUUUCUCCUUCAGAACACCAUGGCAGCAACCAAGGUAUCACCAAGAAGCCGUAGAAGCAAUAUGACUACAAAUGUGGUUACUGAGAAACGUAUCUAAUUGUGUUUCAACCCUCAGAGAUACUUCUGAUGUAAGGUAAGAAAUAUAGUAAAAAUAUAUGGGCCUGACAAUUUAAUAUUGGCUUUCAGUAUAGAGGAGAAAACUGUCUCCUGGGCUCUGUGGGAGUUCCAGUUGAGGUGGGCUUUAGGACAAGGAUCUCAUCUGUGUCCCUGGUUACAGGAGACCUGCUGGGAGACAGGCAAGCUAUAGGAUUUAGCAUGGAUCAGACAUGUUGAUCUCAUUUAUUAUGGAGUAAUUAGCUCUGAACAAUGGGUGAAGUAUACACCAGAAAGAGAGAUUGAAAGUAAAAUAGAAGAGACAGCAGAUCAGUUUCAGGCUAACAGCACCUCUCAGCUCACAUGAGGAAUCAAUGAUCUGGCAAUGUUCCAGGGGCAGGGACUGUGUCACACCUUCCCUUAUGCAGACAGGUAAUGUUCAAGGAGCCCAGAUUGAGACUGAGAGCUGAAAAACUGUGGCAAGGCUUUUCUGCUUUUAUAUUGUAGACAGGCACAAAAUGUCAAAUUUGGGAUACUCAGUAGGUACAAAACCAUGGUAAGAACAUGGGUGAAGAUCUAAACACUGUUUAUCCUACAGCUAUCUCGUUUCCAAAAUGUGUCUGAUUUAUAGGAGCUAUAACCCCAACUUGGUACCUUCUCUGAGUUAAAAGCCCACAGACUAGUGAAAAGCUCCAGAGACAUCAACUGAGCAAGUCCUAAGAUGAUAUUUUUUAAAAAUGAAAAAUAUAAAAAAUUAUUUUACAGCUGUGAAGGUCAAAAGUUUAAGAAGACCCAGAUUAUACUAUCAAUAAAUAACAACAUCUACCCCCACAAACCAGGAGCACAUUGGAGUCCUGUAGCAAUUAGUUUAGGUGUCUGAGGCAAUGACCUUUAAAGACAAUUCAGCACUGAAAUUCCUAGAGUUAUAGAAUCUUCCA